Long non-coding RNA from Mesocricetus auratus (golden hamster), 5244 nucleotides. RefSeq lists it as uncharacterized. Lineage: Eukaryota; Metazoa; Chordata; Mammalia; Rodentia; Cricetidae. The record is from RefSeq and is a predicted model, not a curated record. The transcript is spliced from 2 exons.
UCCCGAUUCCAGACCCCUGCCCUGACUUCCUUUGAUGACGACUGUGAUGUGGGACUGUGAGCUGAAACAAACCCUCAACUCUCUGCGUUGCUUUGGGUCAUGGCGUUCAACUACUGCAAUGGAAACCUAAGACACUUGCGCUGGCAGAAUUAUCCAGAACCUUGGUUUGACUUCUACGACAAGAGAGUCUGUCACCAUCAGUGGGAUCCAUGCUUGCUUGUGUAUUUAUGGACUGCCUGUCCUCCUCACUCUUCACCUUGUGCCACGCCCAGCAACUCUGGAGAUCCCUCCCCAGCUACAGCCAGCAGAGUCAACCUGGCCAAGCUGGGAAUCUGGUUUUAGGCAAUGCCUGCCUCAACUCAAGGUUCCCAUUUCUGGUACCUCUCUACUGUUAUCACGACAAACUUGUGUUUGCCUAGAUCCUGUUCCUGAGUGGCCCUGGCUGGCAUUGCCUUUUCUUCCCCACUGGGAUGUGGCCUGCUUGGAAUUUCAUGUUAUGCCUGCGUGACGGAGGAGACAUGCAUUAAAACCGUGCACUGCCAACACCUCCUCUUGUCUAUAAGAAGAGUUGGAGCUUUGCACCAUGUGCUCGCUAGAGCACCUUUGUUACAUUAGGCAGGGUCAUUGGCAGUGAGGAGAAAUAAAAUGCUGAGAGGAGUCCAAAAGGCUCUUCCCAACACAGAAAGAGGGUGGUGCUUAGAAGGGAAAGGUACAGGAAGCUUGAGAAGGGGAUGAAGUGAUGGGUUAGAGGAGGAAACAGGGAUGAGCUAGCUACACCGUUUUUUUUUUUUUUUUUUUUUUUUGGUUGGUGCACACCUGCAAUCUCAGAACUCAGGAGGCUGGGGCAGGAGGAUUACCACGAGUUCAAUGCCUGCCUGGGUACAGCUGGCCGCUCCAUGAUCGUUCAGGAAAUUCUCUUCUAACUAAUUGACUGGUUGAGGAAGAAUUGAUGGAUUGAGAUAGUGUCUCACUGUGGAGCCCAGGGUGGCCUCAAGCAAACCUUUCCUUCUCUUUUUCCCUCUCCAUGCUUCUCCUGUCCAUCCUGCUCUUUCCGAGAUUACAGGCCACUGCAGCCAUGUCUGGCUGGUUAAAACAGAUUUAACUAUAGUGAGAUAAUACAAACGCAUCUAUUAUAAGUAAAACGCCUUCUGUGUGGUGGUGCUAUACCUCAGUGGUAAAAUGUUUAUUUAGAAUACGCAGGGUUUGAUAGCCAUGGAGGGGCAUGGGAUAUUAAAAAAAAACUGUUUUUCAGCGAGAGAUAGAACAAUCAGUCCAGCCUAUAUAUAAUUCUAGACCAGCCUCAGGACACAGUAAGACCCUGUUUCAAACAGCAAAACCCAAAAUACCAACCAAAGGCCAAGCAGACUGCUCAGUGGGUAAAGUCCUGGUGGAGUGACCCUCAUGACCUGCAUUCUAGCCCCAGAGCCCCGGGAAAGGUGGAGGAGAGCACCCACUGCACAAAGCUGACCUCUGACCUCCACACAUGUGCCAUGGCACGUUAGUGUCUACACACACAUCCACACAUCCAGCACAGUAAUAUAAAGGCGAAACCGAACCAAAGCUGGGGACAUGGCUCCCCUACUAGAGGACUUGCCUUGCAAGCAGUAAGCCCUGGGAUUGGUCGAGAGAAACCCCAUACACCAUGCAGUGGCUCCAAGCUGUGGUCUCCGCACUCAGGAGGUGGAGGCAGGAGGAUCAGAAGUUCAAGGCCACUCUCAGCUACAAACAAGUUUAAGGCCAGACUGUGAUCUACACUAGUCCUUGUCUCAAAAAACAAAACAAAUCAAAACAAACCAAGAGACCGUCCUAGGUAAAGUGAGUUUGUGUUAUGUUAGUGGAAGCCUUUCCUAACUUUGCCCUUGGACCGGUGGCUUAAUUGGCAGAUUUGGGGCUCUUCCCCAAUAGGGCUUCAGACCACUGAGUCUUACUUAUCAGUACGAUGUUGGGAAACUUCUGAUUCUCACAUCAAACUGCAACCCAGCCCUGUCAGGGAUAAACAGUGUUCUGGCGUCUCCUUCCAUUCCUCUGUCUUGUUUGGCUUUGUUUAGAACUCUGAGGAGGGGUGUAAUUAGUUCCCUGGGCACCCUGUCAGCGUUCCAGUGUUUGGUGCAUUGGUCAGAAAAUUGAUAAGUAAGAAAUAAACACAAUUAGGGAGAAGCAAGAGGAUAAACACAGAGAGACCAAGGGUUCUGGAGAGGCCAGAAAUUGGCCUUGGUCCUGGUGCCUUCCCUUUCAUGUGAGGGGUAUUUAUCUCAGGCUGGCAGUUUGUAUAGGCUUAUCUUGGGCCAGGUAGGUUUUUAUGAUGGUGCUGUCAGCUUGUGACAGCUGUGGCCUGGGGAAAAGACCUUGGAGGACCUUGGCAAGGGCAGUGGGAUCCUGCUAGGGCCUUAGCAGGGGUUAGCAGGGUUGGGGGAAGCCUUAUAAUCUAUUCCAGCUUGGACAGGGGUUUAAUUAUGGGGGGCGUCUUUUCAUGUGUUGCCUUUUUAGAUAUUAGGGAGAAGGAAACUUGCUGGAGUUUUUGUUGUUUGUUUAACUGUGGGACAGUUUGGCUCUUCAUGGACCACAGAGCAAUCACAAGAAUUCACUUUCAAUGAGCAAGUGCUAGGUCCAGAUAAGUAAACACACAGCCCUCAUUUUAAAUUUUCUUUUAUGUUGUCUUGAGUUACCCUCAAGGACAGAAGAGUGGGGGUGGAUGGAUUGAAUUCGAAUUCACAAGGCUCAAGAAUCAACUGCCCUGGGAGCUGGGAAGAUGUUUCCGUGGGAAAGCUGUACAAUUGUGGAGACCAGAGUUUGAAUCUCAAGCACCUGCUUAAAAAGCUAGGCACAUCUGUAACCCCACGGCAGUGUGUGGGGCUCGCAGGCACAGGAAUAACAACCCUCAAGACAACUGUGGAGGCCUUGCCAGGCAGAGUUCACACGGGUUGUGGCAGUGUGGUACUGGCUCCCAGGGUUCGGCAGGAGCAUGGGAAUGAAGAGGUGGAGAAGAGCAUCCCCUCAGAUGAGGUGUGUUGCUGGAGGAUGCUGCCGUUGGACAUUUCUGAACUUGGCAAGAAGACCUUCUGUCACAGACUCUAAUGGAUCUCUCUCAGAGAAGCAUGCACAGUGCCACAGUCCUGAAAUUAACUCAUUGGUUAGCGUAUCUCCAUGAACUGGAAUUGCACUCACAGGUAAUACUUUCAGGAUGCCGGUCAGCCAGCGUCUUGGUGAGUUCACAAUUUUUGCAACUGACUUUGACAGUUUGAUAUUGAUUCUGUGGGUGUACCCCAGGCUGGUCUCAGAUUUUACAGAAAUUCUUCUGCUUUUCCUCCCCUAGCUGUAGAUGGAAGUUUCUGUCCUGCCUAGUCCUGCAGCCAUUUAGUCCCAAAUAAACACACAGAAGCUUGUAUUAAUUAUAAACUGUUUGGCCAUUGGCUCAGGCUUCUUAUUUGCUAGCUCUCUCUUAAUUAUUAGCCCGUUAUCUAUUCAUCUGUGUAUCUCCACGUGUCUUAACUUACCAGUGAUACCCGGGGCCUCUUGCUUCCUUGGCAGUUACAUGGCGUCUCCUUUUGUAUGCUGUGAAUAUAUGUUUCUCUUAUUGGUUGAUAAAUAAAGCUGUUUCAGCCAAUGGAGAGGCAGGAUUUAGUCAGACGGGAAAUCCAAAGAGGGAUAAAGAACGGUAGUAGGUAGAGUCAGGGAGAUACCAAGUAGCUGCCAAGGAAGCAAGAGACCUAAGCAUCACAGGUAAGCCAAGACCACAUGGAGAUAUACAGAUUAAUAGAAAUGGUUAAUAAUUAAGAGAGAGCUGACCAAUAAGAAGCCUGAGCCAUCAGCCAAACAGUUUAUAAUUAAUAUAUGCCUCUGUGUUUUUAUUUGGGACUAAACAAAUUAUCUGUCUACACCUAGCUCUUGGAUUGCAGGAGUAAACUUCUAAGCUAGGCCCCUUGAAUCUGUGUAUGUGAUUUAAAAGAAAAUUUUAAGGUUGAGUUACACUCUAACAUUUUAUUUAUUCGUGUGUGUGUGUGUGUGUGUGUGUGUGUGUGUGUACGUGCAUGUGUAUGUGUGCAUGUAGGGGGGGUGGUAUAUGUGCCUUUGCAUGCAUGGGUCUCUUAGAUCUGGAGUUACCACUUGCUAUGUGAGUCCUGGGAUCCAAACUCCAGUCCUUGUGAUCAUGCAGCAAAUGCUCUAAACUGUUGAACCAUUGCCCCAUGUCGCCUGCAUACAUGGUUUUGCUUGAGCUCCUUCCUAGGAAUUGUUUCUCUGUUUUAGGAAGGAUCUCACGAUGUAUUCCUGGCUAGUUUGGAACUUAAUAUGUAGAUCAUGUUAGCAUGGAACUUACAGAGAUCUGCUUGCCUCUGCCUUCAGAAUGCUGAUGUUAAAGGUAUGCACCACCCACCAUUCCUAUACUUAAAAUUUUUAAACAAUCAUAUUUAUUUAUAUUUAUUUGUGUUCCUUCAUAUGUAGGGGCACUCAUGUGCUAAACUGUGUGUGUGUGUGUGUGUGUGUGUGUGUGUGUGUGUGUGUGUGUGUGUAGAUCAGAGGCCAUCUUGCAGGUGUGAGUUAUCUCCUUCCACUAUAAGUGUCCAGGCUUAGUAACAUGUACCUUUACUUAAUCCACUGAGACAUCUCACUGGUUCAAAUUUUUGAUAUUUUUUUCUUUAAAAAGUUUUGUCACUGUGUGUUCAUGUGGGUGCACACGCCAUUGACCACUUGUGUGGAGGACAACUUUGUGGAAUCAAAUCUCUCCUUCCACCUUUAUGUGAGUUCCAAGGAUGUGCCCUGCCUGUCGACAGAGUGGAGCCCAGGGGAGUCCUGAAUGCAUGAUCCCCCUGAAUGCAUGAUCCCCCUUCACGCCUUCAGCACAUCCUGCUAGUGUGUGCCACCAUAAUCAUGUCUUGCCUAUUACAGUCUUCCUAGGAACGUGAUACAAAUGACUAGUAUGUCUUCUACGUGGAGGCCUUUGCUUUCUUGCUUGAUGUAUCUGUGGUUAAAUCCUUAUACAGCCUUGAGAAUCAAAGCACCCCAGUGAACCCUCACAGCCACUACUUGUAGGGUUAAAAGCCUGAGCUCAAUCCCUGGGCUUGAAAACCCACCAAUCCCUGUGUUCACCCAAGCUCAGGACUUGAAAUCUCACCAAUCCCCACCCUGGAAAAUUCCACCCCCAAGAAGUCAUAUAUAAGCCUGCCUCUCACUCAGUUUCCCUGCAGAAUCUUGCCAGAGCAGAGGCAGCUACUUUCCUGUGUUUUCCCCAAUAAAUGUAUUUUGUGA